RNAcentral lists this ribosomal RNA (1125 nucleotides) under Triticum aestivum (bread wheat). Its description in RNAcentral is "partial small subunit ribosomal RNA". The record is from RNAcentral. Lineage: Eukaryota; Viridiplantae; Streptophyta; Magnoliopsida; Poales; Poaceae.
AUGUCUUCCUCCUCCUCCUCCGGUGCUUCCCAGACCACCCUCAAUGGGCAGGUCACCGAGAAGCUAACACACACGAACUAUGUGCUCUGGCGCACGCAGGUCACUCCUCAUCUGCGCGGCGCCGGCGUCUUCGGCUACGUCGACGGCACCACACCGGAGCCGGCCAGGCUUCAUGUCACCAAGGACAAGGAUGGCAAAGAAGGCACUGAGCCCAACCCUCUCCACCCAAUCUGGGUCCGGGAGGAUCAACAGGUGCUGGGCUACCUGCUCAGCACCCUCUCCAAGGAGGUACUGAUCGCGGUGACCACGGUCACCACGGCGCACGCGCUCUGGACAGCGGUGGCAGGUACGUUUUCCUCGCAGUCCAUGAGCCGCGUGAAUAAUAUCAGGACGACGCUCAUCAAUGCGCAGAAGGGCAACCAGACGGUUUCCGCCUACUUCGCCUCUCUCCGUGGCCUCGCCGAUGAGCUUGCCGCUGCAGGGAAGGCCAUCCAAGACGACGAACUCAUCUCCUACAUCAUCCACGGCCUCGACGUCGACUACCAGCCCCUCGUCUCCGCCCUCGACGCACGCGUCACGCCAGUCUCCCUCGACGAGCUCUAUGCCAUGCUCAGUAACUUCGACCAGCGCAUGGCCCAGUUCAAUCACUCGGGCAGCGGCGGCUUCCGCUCCUCCGCCAACGCCGCGGUGCGUGGCCGUGGUGGUGGAUCACGUGGCCGUAGCUCCUCUCACGCCAAGGGGCGAUCUGGCGGACACGGUCGUGGCGGCAACAGCGGCGGCGGCCAUAGCUGCUCUGGUGCAUCUCGCGGUCGUCGUGGCGGCGGUCCACCUCGGGCCCGACUGGAGCUGCCUCGCUGCCAAAUUUGCAGUAAUCCAGGGCACACCGCGAAGGAUUGCUGGUACCGUUAUGAUGAAGACGACGAGGACUCCCAAGAUGAAGAAAAAGUGGCUGCCGCAGUUGAUGGAUCCUACGGCAUCGACACAAAUUGGUACGUCGAUAGCGGCGCCACCAAUCACAUCACCAAUGAACUUGAGAAGGUCAAGAUGAAAGACAAAUAUCGUGGCAAAGAUCACAUCCACACGGCAAGUGGAGAAGGCCACGAAGAAGGUUCUCUAUUGAGGUAG